Molecule: long non-coding RNA, 3767 nt
Organism: Camellia sinensis
Lineage: Eukaryota; Viridiplantae; Streptophyta; Magnoliopsida; Ericales; Theaceae
Source: RefSeq, a predicted model, not a curated record
CGGUGCGGGUCGAUGCGGUUUGGAAGAAAAAUAAAAACCGGCGAAUUGAUAAAAGUGUCACUAGAAUUUGCCAUUUUUCUUAUCAAAAAUCGGCGGUUCGAUUGACAAAUAAUAACGAAUUUGUCUUGGCGGUGCGGCUCGGUGCGAUUUUGGCGGUUGUGGCGGUAUUAUGCACACCCGUAAUUGUAAGGAAAAGACCUGGGCUAGGCUAGGUGACCUUUAAUCGGAUCGUCUUAGAGAAAGGGCCUAGGAUGCCACCCCGAGGAUGACUCUUGGUUCAAUAUUGGAUCCAACAGGCUUAUUGCCUUGAGAAUUUUGUGGCGUGUUACUUGUUUUUCUUGGUACCAAAAAAAUUAUUGAUGAUCAUGUUGUAAUCUGUUUUAAGUGGAGAAUGUCAUCUGCUAUGUUCUUGAAAGACAUGAAUAUUUUAACUGUUGAACUAUGGAACCUUCUUUUUGAAGUAGAUUGUCUUUAUCAAAACUGUAUGACAAUCUAGUUUUUGUGAUAUAUAUCUUAUUUUGGAAUUGAACCUUGUUUUCAAAACUGUAUUUACUAUCCAUGUUUCUACUCACUGAGCUAUCGGCUGACUUAGUUGUUUAUCAAUUCCAAGUCAUAGAAAAACUUAAAGUUGACCCAUUUAUAUGCGACGUAAACAAUUGACUCAUGUGUACAGAGACAUUUAUAAGGAUCCAUAAUAGUUGACCCAUGAUCACAUGGGGCGUAUAGUUGACUCAUGAUUACAUGAGACGUUCAAUUGACUCAUAAUUCCGUGAGACGUAUACAGAGUAGAUAACAGAUAUCACUUGAUGCUAAGGAUGCCAUGAAUAUAUUUCAGAAAAAUGGUCAUUCAUUUAUAAUUCAUAAAAUAGCAAUUUAGAAAACAGAUCAUAUCAUUUUAGUCAGAAAAUACUUAUAAUCAAAUAUAGUUUUAUAGAGUUGUUACUCACAGAUAGCUCCAGAAGCAAAUUAGACAGAUUAGACAGAUCAGACAGAUUAGGCAAACGAUAGCGCGUGACUUACACAAACACAACAUAUACACAUUGAAACACAAUAUCAUUUCUUGAACAAACUUGACUUCUCUUGUCAUUUUCUGUCUAAGUAAUCCGAAGUUGUACUAUGGUUAUUCUUUCUUAUUCAAAUGAAUCGAGUUCUUAUUUCACAUAUUCUUUCAUUACCAAAUCUUUUUCUUCCAAAUAGAUCGAUUUCUUAGUUGGCUUCUUAGUCAAUUAUUACUAAAUUAGUGAUUUAUUCCUUAACCAACUAAUUUAUGUUAAUUGUUAGUUUAUUAAUCUUGUUGAGUCAGAAUUCUUGCCUAAGAAUGCUUAGAAAGAGAUGAGAUUAAAAAUAUGAACUAAAUGCCAUUUUUCCAAAAUAUGCUGAAAAAGAGUUGUUUGCUUGAGCGAACUGCUUGUCGCUUGAGCGAUCUGUAAAGACUGCAAAAGUACUAGAAGCCUUCAAUGUGGGCUCGAGCAAUAAUUAGUCCACUCGAGGAGUUUGUAAAAUUUCAGAGUUUCAAAUUUCUCAAAAAUGGCUUCCAAAUGCAUUUUCAAUCUUUAAACCCAUACAUAUCUUGAUCCAAACUCGAAAAUACUUUAGAAAACAUUAACACUUAUUUAGUUAUAAAUCAUUUACUCAAAAUCUGGAAGCAUAAUAAUUAAUUUAUUUAAAUCAAAACCUUACUUCAUUUCAAAAUCAAAACCCACGAACUCAUGUUUUUUUUCUAAAAUUCUUUUUCAAAAUUAAAUGUGCAAUGAAAUUACAUGUAACUCAUGAAGCUUAAUUUAAUUAUAACUCUCAAGAUCAAAUCCAAAAUAAGGAAUUUUUAAAUUAACUUUUAUAAACUUGAAUCUAAUUCAAUUUCUUCAUCCUUUUACUAAUUCCUUUCAAAUUACAUGAAAUUCAUUUUCAACUCUUUUCUAUUUCCUUAAAUUCAUGAAAUUGAAGUUACAAAACUCUUUGAAAAGUAUUUUCAUGUAUGAAAUUAAGAUCAAAACUAAUUAAUUAUAUAUUUUCUAAUCAUAAUUUACUUUUCGAAUUGCUCAAAUUUAGAUUUUUAUUAAUUUUCUUCAUAUCAAACCCAAAUUCAAACUCACAGGUCUUUUAAGCAUGAAUUAAAAUCUAAAAUCUUGAAAUCCAAGAUGCAUGUAAGGAUGAGUUUUAAAUUUAUGAAGAAUAACAAAAAUCAAACUCAAAUUAACUAAUUUCCAAAUUUAUUUCCAUAAUUUUAAACUUAACUCCAUUUUCUUCAUCUUCUUGUUAAUUCCUUUUAAUCACGUGAUUUUGAUUCUAAUUUCAUCUUUAAUUUCUAGUGUAAUGUGAAGAUUCUAUACAAAUUAAACAUAAAUUUCAUACCUUAAGUUUUAAUUUCAGAAAAUUUAGUUGAUUUCUUCCUUAAUAAAAUCUCAAUAUUACUAAUCUGAAUCGAAUAUUUAAUUAAACUCUCAUAUGUUCCGAUAUUUGAAAUGAAAAUAAUUCAAUUCACCAAUUAUACUCUCUUGAACUAUUUAGGCUUUCCAUUUCUAAUUCCAAAAUAAAUUCUUAAUAGAAUUAUAUACGAAUUUGCCUCCACAAUUUUCCAAAUUAAAUCAGAAUAAUGGGCAAUUAAAAUUCAAGUCUCCUUAAUUAAUUAAAUGUUAAUUAUUAUAUUUGAUGGGGUCGUCACAAGAAGUGUGAAUGCUCUUGGAAUUGGCCAAUCAGCUACUAAUCGUAGAGUUCCCUAUGCUCCUAUUCCUCAUUCAGUAGCGCCAACUACUGCGCCAGUUGUGGGCACUGUUCUUCCUACUACACCAUCUGUUGCUUCAGUUGCCUCUAAAGCACUAGGAGUUGUUCCUAUUGCACCAAGCACAUAGGUUUUACAGUCUUGUUGGGAUUAUUGAACAAUCAUAUAGCCCCAUAACCAGCAGUUCCACCAACCUUAAGUUUGGAUAGAGGUUCCUUAUUUGAGAGGUUUAUGACGGCAAAACCUCUAGAAUUUCAUGGAGCAGCAGACCCUAUAGAGGCAGAGGCAUGGUUACUACAAAUGGAGAAAAUAUUUAAUUUUCUAGGUCGUUCAGCAAACCAAAAGGUGGCCAUUGCAGCUUUUAGGUUCAAGGGUCAAACAGAGCAUUGGUGGCACAUGGUGAAGCAUCAAUAUGAGGGUAGAGAAGCAGAGCUGGUAUGGAACAAGUUUCUGGAACUGUUUAAUGAGAAAUACUUCCCUGAAGUGGUUCAGAGGCAGAAACAAGUGGAGUUUCUCAAGUUUAAGUAGAAUAACAUGGCAGUGGCUCAAUAUGAAGCCAAGUUUGCAGAAUUGUCAAGGUAUGCUCCACAUCAGGUAGCUACAAAAGAAGAUAGAGUGAUGCUGUUUGAGAAUGGCUUGCGGUCAGAGAUUUAUGCAAAGGUAGCUAUCUUAGAGAUGAAGACAUAUUCCGCAUUGAUACCCCAAUUUGAAGAAUGUGAAGGAUCUGAUUCACAAGAAAGGCUUGGUAAAAAUUAUCAAGUAGAAAGUUCCCCUGACCGACAAUAACAUUAUUGAACUGACAUUGAGGAAGCAUGUCAUUUUAUGCAUAGAAGACAGUGUAUACGAGGUCAAUAUUGCUUGAAAAGAUGCAAAAUAUGAUCAAAGAAGACAGAAAUUUAAAAUUUGAGUUUUCCUUAAAUUUUUUUUAUAUUUUUAAUUUUUUCAUUAGAUUACAGUGAAAAAACCUUUUAUUCCUUAACUUUUAUUGUACAUAUUUUUUCAACAUUCGACUUUCAUUUAUGAAAUGUAUGAGGUUAUUAGUUAUUCA